RNAcentral lists this ribosomal RNA (550 nucleotides) under uncultured Glomus. RNAcentral describes it as "SSU rRNA". It matches the Rfam family "Eukaryotic small subunit ribosomal RNA", at positions 548 to 1098 of the family's 1831-position model. The record is from RNAcentral. Lineage: Eukaryota; Fungi; Glomeromycota; Glomeromycetes; Glomerales; Glomeraceae.
UUGGAGGGCAAGUCUGGUGCCAGCAGCCGCGGUAAUUCCAGCUCCAAUAGCGUAUAUUAAAGUUGUUGCAGUUAAAAAGCUCGUAGUUGAAUUUCGGGAUCAAUAUUUCGGUCAUGCCGUUGGUAUGCACUGUUAUCAUUGAUUUCUCACCUUCUAAAGAACCGUAAUGCCAUUAAUUUGGUGUUACGGGGAAUUAGGACUGUUACCUUGAAAAAAUUAGAGUGUUUAAAGCAGGCUCACGCUUGAAUACAUUAGCAUGGAAUAAUGAAAUAGGACAUCCGAUUCUAUUUUGUUGGUUUCUAGGAUCGAUGUAAUGAUUAAUAGGGAUAGUUGGGGGCAUUAGUAUUCAAUUGUCAGAGGUGAAAUUCUUGGAUUUAUUGAAGACUAACUACUGCGAAAGCAUUUGCCAAGGAUGUUUACAUUAAUCAAGAACGAAAGUUAGGGGAUCGAAGACGAUCAGAUACCGUCGUAGUCUUAACCAUAAACUAUGCCGACUAGGGAUCGGAUGAUGUUAAUUUUUUAAUGACUCAUUCGGCGCCUUACGGGAAAC